RNAcentral lists this ribosomal RNA (253 nucleotides) under uncultured bacterium. RNAcentral describes it as "partial 16S ribosomal RNA". It matches the Rfam family "Bacterial small subunit ribosomal RNA", at positions 524 to 776 of the family's 1533-position model. The record is from RNAcentral.
UACGUAGGCAGCAAGCGUUGUUCGGAGUUACUGGGCGUAAAGGGUGCGUAGGCGGUUGUUUAAGUUUGGUGUGAAAUCUCCCGGCUCAACUGGGAGGGUGCGCCGAAUACUGAAUGACUGGAGUGCGGGAGAGGAGAGUGGAAUUCCUGGUGUAGCGGUGAAAUGCGUAGAUAUCAGGAGGAACACCGGUGGUGUAGACGGCUCUCUGGACCGUAACUGACGCUGAGGCACGAAAGCGUGGGUAGCAAACAGG